AUACCUGCAGUCGAGCGCGGGAAGCAAACUGAAUCCUUCGGGAGGACGUUUGUGGAACGAGCGGCGGACGGGUGAGUAACACGUGGGCAACCUGCCUGUAAGACUGGGAUAACUCCGGGAAACCGGGGCUAAUACCGGAUAACUCAUCGGAUCGCAUGAUCCGAGGUUGAAAGAUGGCUUCUUGCUAUCACUUACAGAUGGGCCCGCGGCGCAUUAGCUAGUUGGUGAGGUAACGGCUCACCAAGGCCACGAUGCGUAGCCGACCUGAGAGGGUGAUCGGCCACACUGGGACUGAGACACGGCCCAGACUCCUACGGGAGGCAGCAGUAGGGAAUCAUCCGCAAUGGACGAAAGUCUGACGGUGCAACGCCGCGUGAGUGAGGAAGGCCUUCGGGUCGUAAAACUCUGUUGUUAGGGAAGAACAAGUUCCGUUCGAAUAGGGCGGAGCCUUGACGGUACCUAACCAGAAAGCCACGGCUAACUACGUGCCAGCAGCCGCGGUAAUACGUAGGUGGCAAGCGUUGUCCGGAAUUAUUGGGCGUAAAGCGCGCGCAGGCGGUUCCUUAAGUCUGAUGUGAAAGCCCACGGCUCAACCGUGGAGGGUCAUUGGAAACUGGGGAACUUGAAGACAGAAGAGGAGAGCGGAAUUCCACGUGUAGCGGUGAAAUGCGUAGAUAUGUGGAGGAACACCAGUGGCGAAGGCGGCUCUCUGGUCUGUGCUUGACGCUGACGCGCGAAAGCGUGGGGAGCGAACAGGAUUAGAUACCCUGGUAGUCCACGCCGUAAACGAUGAGUGCUAGGUGUUAGGGGUUUCCACCCUUAGUGCUGCAGUUAACGCAAUAAGCACUCCGCCUGGGGAGUACGGCCGCAAGGCUGAAACUCAAAGGAAUUGACUUGGGCCCGCACAAGCGGUGGAUCAUGUGGUUUAAUUCGAAGCAACUCGAAGAACCUUACCUGGUCUUGACUUCCUCUGACGGCCGUAGAGAUAGGGGG
RNAcentral lists this ribosomal RNA (993 nucleotides) under Piscibacillus sp. Its description in RNAcentral is "bacterial SSU rRNA". It matches the Rfam family "Bacterial small subunit ribosomal RNA", at positions 51 to 1013 of the family's 1533-position model. The record is from RNAcentral. Lineage: Bacteria; Bacillati; Bacillota; Bacilli; Caryophanales; Bacillaceae.